Molecule: small RNA, 170 nt
Filed under: Escherichia coli 907672
Lineage: Bacteria; Pseudomonadati; Pseudomonadota; Gammaproteobacteria; Enterobacterales; Enterobacteriaceae
Also listed under: 1 other name
Description: RtT RNA
Rfam family: RtT RNA (bases 40-170)
About the family: This family represents a bacterial cis-regulatory element known as RtT RNA. The exact function of RtT is unknown although it is thought that it may be involved in changing the cellular response in relation to amino acid starvation.
Source: RNAcentral
CAAAAGUCCGUGAACUCUCAAACGAAUCCGCAAUUAAAUAUUCUGCCCAUGCGGGGAGGGAUGAGAAGCUUCGACCAAGGUGCGACUCGAGCGCCAGCGAGAAAGCGUUGCCGCAGGCAACGAUCCGAAGGGUGAAGCGCGCAGCGCUAGUAAUCCUUCCCCCACCACCA